GAUCAGGCUCAGGAUGAACGCUGGCGGCGUGCUUAACACAUGCAAGUCGAACGAAGCACUUAAGAUUGAUUCUUCGGAUGAAGUCUUUUGUGACUGAGUGGCGGACGGGUGAGUAACGCGUGGGUAACCUGCCUCAUACAGGGGGAUAACAGUUAGAAAUGACUGCUAAUACCGCAUAAGCGCACAGGGUCGCAUGACCUGGUGUGAAAAACUCCGGUGGUAUGAGAUGGACCCGCG
RNAcentral lists this ribosomal RNA (237 nucleotides) under uncultured bacterium. RNAcentral describes it as "partial 16S ribosomal RNA". It matches the Rfam family "Bacterial small subunit ribosomal RNA", at positions 15 to 235 of the family's 1533-position model. The record is from RNAcentral.